AUAAACGCUGGCGGCGUGCCUAAUACAUGCAAGUCGAGCGAGAAAGUUCCUUCGGGAAUGAGUAAAGCGGCGAACGGGUGAGUAACGCGUGAGAAUCUGCCCUUCAGUGAAGAAUACCGUCGAGAAAUUGACGUUAAUGCUGCAUACGUCCCUUCGGGGAGAAAAGUGGCCUCUUUGCUACUGCUGAAGGAUGAGCUUGCGUACUAUUAGCUAGUUGGUGGGGUAAUGGCCUACCAAGGCGAUGAUGGUUAACCGGCCUGAGAGGGUGUACGGUCACACUGGAAUUGAGAAACGGUCCAGACUCCUACGGGAGGCAGCAGUAAGGAAUAUUGCGCAAUGGGCGAAAGCCUGACGCAGCGACGCCGCGUGGAGGAUGAAGGUCUUCGGAUUGUAAACUUCUGUUAAGUGGGAAGAAAAAGCUGUUUUUAAUAGAAGCAGUUAAUGACGGUACCAUUAAAGAAAGCACCGGCUAAACUCGU
This 479-nucleotide ribosomal RNA is filed under the name uncultured bacterium. RNAcentral's name for it is "bacterial SSU rRNA". It matches the Rfam family "Bacterial small subunit ribosomal RNA", at positions 29 to 506 of the family's 1533-position model. The record is from RNAcentral.